AUUUAGUGGCGAACGGGUGAGGAACACGUGAGAAACCUGCCCCGAACUUCGGGAUAACAGUUGGAAACGACUGCUAAUACCGAAUACCUCUGCGAAGUGGCAUCACUUUGCAAAGAAAGAAUUUCGGUUCGGGAGGGUCUCGCGGCCUAUCAGCUAGUUGGUGGGGUAACGGCCUACCAAGGCAUCGACGGGUAGCUGGUCUGAGAGGAUGAUCAGCCACACUGGGACUGAGACACGGCCCAGACUCCUACGGGAGGCAGCAGUGGGGAAUCUUGUGCAAUGGGCGAAAGCCUGACACAGCAACGCCGCGUGCGGGAAGAAGGCCUUCGGGUCGUAAACCGCUUUCAGCAGGAACGAAAAUGACGGUACCUGCAGAAGAAGGUGCGGCCAACUACGUGCCAGCAGCCGCGGUGACACGUAGGCACCAAGCGUUGUCCGGAUUUAUUGGGCGUAAAGAGCUCGUAGGCGGUUCAGCAAGUCGGGUGUGAAAACUCUGGGCUUAACCCAGAGCCUGCACCCGAAACUGCUGUGACUAGAGUUCGGUAGGGGAGCGGGGAAUUCCUGGUGUAGCGGUGAAAUGCGCAGAUAUCAGGAGGAACACCGGUGGCGAAGGCGCCGCUCUGGGCCGAAACUGACGCUGAGGAGCGAAAGCGUGGGUAGCAAACAGGAUUAGAUACCCUGGUAGUCCACGCCGUAAACGUUGGGCACUAGGUGUGGGUCUCUAACCAACGAGAUCCGCGCCGUCGCU
This 748-nucleotide ribosomal RNA is filed under the name uncultured Actinomycetes bacterium. RNAcentral's name for it is "bacterial SSU rRNA". It matches the Rfam family "Bacterial small subunit ribosomal RNA", at positions 90 to 853 of the family's 1533-position model. Lineage: Bacteria; Bacillati; Actinomycetota; Actinomycetes. The record is from RNAcentral.